This 80-nucleotide transfer RNA is filed under the name Rhizoctonia solani AG-1 IB. RNAcentral's name for it is "tRNA-Val". Lineage: Eukaryota; Fungi; Basidiomycota; Agaricomycetes; Cantharellales; Ceratobasidiaceae. The record is from RNAcentral.
GUCGGGCAAGGUCUUGAGUUCGAACCUCAAGGCGGUCAGGCUGCCUGGUGUAGUUUGGUUUAUCACGUGCCCUUCACAUA